Molecule: ribosomal RNA, 494 nt
Filed under: uncultured bacterium
Lineage: Bacteria
Description: partial 16S ribosomal RNA
Rfam family: Bacterial small subunit ribosomal RNA
Source: RNAcentral
GACGAACGCUGGCGGCGUGCUUAACACAUGCAAGUCGAACGGUAAAGCGCCUUCCUUUUUGGUGGGUGUGGGUGAGUGGCGAACGGGUUAGUAACACGUUAGUAACCUGCUCUCUUCUUCUGGAUAACCGCAUGAAAGUGUGGCUAAUACCGGAUACUCUGUGUCUGUCGCAUCAUGGGUUUGUGAAAGCUUUUGUUUCUGUAUGGGAUGGGCUCGCGGACUAUCAGCUUGUUGGUGAGGUGAUGGCCUACCAAGGCGGUGAGGCGUGGCCGGCAUGAGAGGAUGAACCGCAACAGAAGGAAGGAAACACGGAGAAGCCUACGAGAGGAAGCAGUGGGGAAGAAUAGAGAACGGGGGGAGGAAGGAUGAAGCAGCGACGCGGCGGGAGAGAAGGAGGCCGUGGGGUUGAGAACCUCUGUCGGGAGAGAAGAGGGGCUGCCUAGUAUGUGGGUGGGUUGACGGUAGCUGGAGAAGAAGCGCCGGCUAACUACGUG